This 437-nucleotide ribosomal RNA is filed under the name uncultured bacterium. RNAcentral's name for it is "bacterial SSU rRNA". It matches the Rfam family "Bacterial small subunit ribosomal RNA", at positions 29 to 510 of the family's 1533-position model. The record is from RNAcentral.
AACGAACGCUGGCGGCAUGCCUAACACAUGCAAGUCGAACGCGUGUAGCAAUACACGAGUGGCGGACGGGUGAGUAACGCGUGGGAACCUGCCCAAUGGUAGGGAAUAACUGCGGGAAACUGCAGCUAAUACCCUAUGCUCCCUACGGGGGAAGAUUUAUCGCCAUUGGAGGGCCCGCGUCGGAUUAGCUAGUUGGUAAGGUAACGGCUUACCAAGGCUACGAUCUGUAUCCGGCUAAGAGGACGGUCGGACACACUGACACUGAAUAACGGGUCAGACUCCUACGGGAGGCAGCAGUCGGGAAUUUUGGGCAAUGGGCGAAAGCCUGACCCAGCAACGCCGCGUGAAGGAUGAAGUAUUUCGGUAUGUAAACUUCGAAAGAAUAGGAAGAAUAAAUGACGGUACUAUUUAUAAGGUACCGGCUAACUACGUAGCCA